CGUAGGUGAACCUGCGGAAGGAUCAUUAAUGAAAUCACAAGUCGGUCGACUGUGCUGGCAGAAAUGCAUGUGCACGUCAAUCGCAAAUCCACACACCUGUGCACCUAUGACUUUGAGAUUUGUCUGACUUGCAGUCAAUCGGCCUUUGGCCUACCCAGGUCUCAAAGUAUUUUUAUACACUCUGAAUGUAAUGGAAUGUUUCACAUGCGUAAAUGCGCAAAAAUACAACUUUCAACAACGGAUCUCUUGGCUCUCGCACCGAUGAAGAACGCAGCGAAAUGCGAUAAGUAAUGUGAAUUGCAGAAUUCAGUGAAUCAUCGAAUCUUUGAACGCACCUUGCACCCUUUGGUAUUCCGAGGGGUACACCCGUUUGAGUGUCAUUGUAAUAUCACUCCUAGACUUUUUGUCGUGGAUGUGGACUUGGACUCUGUCGUGCCACACCGACUGGUCUUAAACAGAUGAGUGCACCCUGCUGUUGCAGCGUCUUCAGUGUGAUAAGCAUCUUCACUGGAACAAGUUACCCCCAGAGGGACACGCUUGCAUUGUGGGCUCUGUGCUGACAAACCGUUUGCAUGAACAACCUUUGACAAUUUGACCUCAAAUCGGGUGGGACUACCCGCUGAACUUAAGCAUAUCAAUAAGCGGAGGAAAAGAAACUAACAAGGAUUCCCCUAGUAACGGCGAGUGAAAGAGGGAAAAGCUCAAAUUUUGAAUCUGGCUCCUUUGGUGCCCGAGUUGUAAUCUAGAGAAGUGUUUUCUGCCUCGGACCACACAUAAAUUCCCUGGAACGGGGUGUCAUAGAGGGUGAGAAUCCCGUUUGUGGUGUGGACUACCUUGGCUCUGUGAUACACUCUCAACGAGUCGAGUUGUUUGGGAAUGCAGCUCAAAAUGGGUGGUAAAUUCCAUCUAAAGCUAAAUAUUGGCGAGAGACCGAUAGCGAACAAGUACCGUGAGGGAAAGAUGAAAAGC
This 969-nucleotide ribosomal RNA is filed under the name uncultured Sebacinales. Its description in RNAcentral is "eukaryotic LSU rRNA". The stretch from base 593 to 969 matches the Rfam family "Eukaryotic large subunit ribosomal RNA", at positions 1 to 372 of the family's 3401-position model. Lineage: Eukaryota; Fungi; Basidiomycota; Agaricomycetes; Sebacinales. The record is from RNAcentral.